Molecule: transfer RNA, 58 nt
Filed under: Micronychus sp. UPOL MT0029
Lineage: Eukaryota; Metazoa; Arthropoda; Insecta; Coleoptera; Lycidae
Description: partial tRNA-Ser
Source: RNAcentral
AAAGAAAUAUAAUAAAGAAGCUUCUAACUUCUUGUAGAGCAUUAUUACUGUUCAUAUU